Molecule: ribosomal RNA, 420 nt
Filed under: uncultured Azospira sp.
Lineage: Bacteria; Pseudomonadati; Pseudomonadota; Betaproteobacteria; Rhodocyclales; Rhodocyclaceae
Description: bacterial SSU rRNA
Rfam family: Bacterial small subunit ribosomal RNA
Source: RNAcentral
GGGGAAUAUUGGACAAUGGACGAAAGUCUGAUCCAGCGACGCCGCGUGGAGGAAGAAGUCCUUCGGGAUGUAAACUCAUGAAGCUAACGAAUAAGACGGAAGGGGAACCUUCCGGGAGAAGGUAAUUAGUGAAAAGCCCCGGCUAACUACGUGCCAGCAGCCGCGGUAAUACGUAGGGUGCGAGCGUUAAUCGGAAUUACUGGGCGUAAAGCGUGCGCAGGCGGUUUCGUAAGACAGACGUGAAAUCCCCGGGCUCAACCUGGGAACUGCGUUUGUGACUGCGAGGCUAGAGUACGGCAGAGGGGGGUAGAAUUCCACGUGUAGCAGUGAAAUGCGUAGAGAUGUGGAGGAAUACCGAUGGCGAAGGCAGCCCCCUGGGUUAGUACUGACGCUCAUGCACGAAAGCGUGGGGAGCAAACA